Long non-coding RNA from Balaenoptera acutorostrata (minke whale), 1903 nucleotides. RefSeq lists it as uncharacterized. The record is from RefSeq and is a predicted model, not a curated record. The transcript has 2 exons. Lineage: Eukaryota; Metazoa; Chordata; Mammalia; Artiodactyla; Balaenopteridae.
CAUCAGGUUUCUCUAGAAGGAAGAAAACAUCCAGGUAUUUCAUAAGUCUGUGGAAAAACUCUUCUGUAAAACAGACAACGUCUGUGUUAGGGCCAGAGCAAAGGAAUUAGGUUUGUGGCUCAGGAAAAGAAAUGGGUGAGGUUGAAAGCAGUCAAAACCAUAAGUGAACAUUCCAAAGCUUACACCAACCGGCAACGCAGCCACGCAGUGGUGACCCUGGAGGCCUCCUUCCAGGAGGGGAACGGGACAGGCACCCGCACCAUCCCCGUGGAAAGCCUGAGCUGCCGGGCAGCCCGGGUGACAAACGCAGGAGCGAGACCUGGGAAAGGCAGGGUCUGCCCCAGAGGUGAAGGUUCAGACACACCGCGUGGAAAGGAUUCUAAGCCUGGUGGAAGCCCUCUGCGCAGAGCUUCAGCAGGCAGGGCGCUCUAGAAACGGACGCCACAGCGUUUUCUCAGACUUGUUAGGAUUACCAGGAACGCACGGGACGUGUGAAACGUUACAAAGUACAGAAGCAGAAGCCCCUUCGCUGCCUCCACCGCCUCACUUCCUGGCCUGCUCCGUCCGUUCAGGCCUGUGUGUCCCCGUGUGCACGCACGUGUACUGCACAGAAUUAGAACACUGAAUACCCCAGGAACUCAGCUAUACGGGGGAUGAACAGGUGCCCGUCCUGUGCUAGACGUUGCUCUGAGCCCUAGAAUAACAACCGCACGUUUCUGAGGUUACAGAGACAGUGGAAGUGCUGACUCCACCCCCGCUGGUCACCGGUCACCGCCAGCUUCCCUGAGCUUUGGGCACCCCCGCCAUGGGGAGGCUGGGCAUCUCAUCUCGUUGUCACUCGUUCAUGGGCCCGUGGCAUGUAUCCUCCUGUGAAUGCGUGUCAUCCUGCAUUUUCUACAUUGACUUUUUUUUUUCCUUUGGUGAGCUUUUUUAUAUUUGGGAAAUUCACCCUUAGUGAUUUAUACUACAAGUAGCUCCUGGCUUUUAGCUUCCCUUGUUGCUUUCUGCAACAGAUUCAUCCAUCUAUUCCUUAAUGGCUUUUAGAGUUUGUCAGACUGGAAAAGGCAUCCCCUGCUCCAAACUUAUAAAAACAUUUACUCACCUCCACUUCAUACUUUCAUAGUUUUAUCUUGCAUGUUUACCUGUUUGCUUUCUCAGUUGUCAACUGAGUUUCCCCGGCACUCGGGGAACAUCCGUCCUUCCCCCGUGUCUGCGGCAUGGCACUUCUCGGGGCCCACGCGAGCAUGCUGUGCUAUGUGCUCACCACUGUGCGACACGCUUCCAUGUCAGAGGACUCAAUCCCUCUGCUUUUCCAGAUGUUUCCUGCCAUUCUUACAUUUUUAUCCUCUUAGGUGACCUUUGGGAUAAUUUGGUCUGGCUCCCAAAACCACCUGUGCUCUUUUGUUUGGGGUCAUACUGAUUUGCUAGAAUAAGGGAGAAUUAACAACUUUAUGUUACUGAGACUUUCUAAUCCAAAACAAGACUCCUUUUAUCUUCCUCAGAGGUUUAAAGCUUCUUCAUUUAGAAACAUGAAUCUUUUGGGACUUCCCUGGUGGUCCAGUGGUAAAGAAUCCGCCUUCUGGGCUUCCCUGGUGGCCCAGUGGUUGGGGGUCUGCCUGCCAGUGCAGGGGACACGGGUUCGAGCCCUGGUCCGGGAAGAUCCCACAUGCUGCAGAGCAGCUGAGCCCGUGCGCCACAACUACUGAGCCCGCGAGCCACAACUACUGAAGCCAGCGCCACUAGAGCCUGCGCUCCACAACAUGAGAAGCCACCACAGUGAGAGGCCUGCGCACCUCAGCGAAGAGUAGCCCCCGCUCGCCGCAACUGGAGACGGCCCAUGCACAGCAACGAAGACCCAACACAGCCAAAAUUAAAUAAAUAAAAUAAAUAAAUUUAAAAAAAA